RNAcentral lists this transfer RNA (74 nucleotides) under Bythopirellula polymerisocia. RNAcentral's name for it is "Planctomycetes bacterium Pla144 tRNA-Val". It matches the Rfam family "tRNA". Rfam says of the family: Transfer RNA (tRNA) molecules are approximately 80 nucleotides in length. Their secondary structure includes four short double-helical elements and three loops (D, anti-codon, and T loops). Further hydrogen bonds mediate the characteristic L-shaped molecular structure. tRNAs have two regions of fundamental functional importance: the anti-codon, which is responsible for specific mRNA codon recognition, and the 3' end, to which the tRNAs corresponding amino acid is attached (by aminoacyl-tRNA synthetases). tRNAs cope with the degeneracy of the genetic code in two manners: having more than one tRNA (with a specific anti-codon) for a particular amino acid; and 'wobble' base-pairing, i.e. permitting non-standard base-pairing at the 3rd anti-codon position. Lineage: Bacteria; Pseudomonadati; Planctomycetota; Planctomycetia; Pirellulales; Lacipirellulaceae. The record is from RNAcentral.
GAUCCCGUGGUCAAACGGCUACGACGCCUGGAUGACACCCAGGAGAGAGAUGGUUCGACUCCAUCCGGGAUCAC